UAGAGUUUGAUCAUGGCUCAGAUUGAACGCUGGCGGCAGGCCUAACACAUGCAAGUCGAGCGGAAACGAGAAUAGCUUGCUAUUCGGCGUCGAGCGGCGGACGGGUGAGUAAUGCCUGGGAAAUUGCCCUGUUGUGGGGGAUAACCAUUGGAAACGAUGGCUAAUACCGCAUAAUAGCUUCGGCUUAAAGAGGGGGACCUUCGGGCCUCUCGCUUCAGGAUAUGCCCAGGUGGGAUUAGCUAGUUGGUGAGGUAAAGGCUCACCAAGGCGACGAUCCCUAGCUGGUCUGAGAGGAUGAUCAGCCACACUGGAACUGAGACACGGUCCAGACUCCUACGGGAGGCAGCAGUGGGGAAUAUUGCACAAUGGGCGCAAGCCUGAUGCAGCCAUGCCGCGUGUAUGAAGAAGGCCUUCGGGUUGUAAAGUACUUUCAGCAGUGAGGAAGGGUGUGUAGUUAAUAGCUGCAUACUUUGACGUUAGCUCCAGAAGAAGCACCGGCUAACUCCGUGCCAGCAGCCGCGGUAAUACGGAGGGUGCGAGCGUUAAUCGGAAUUACUGGGCGUAAAGCGCAUGCAGGUGGUUUGUUAAGUCAGAUGUGAAAGCCCGGGGCUCAACCUCGGAGCCGCAUUUGAAACUGGCAAGCUAGAGUACUGUAGAGGGGGGGGUAGAAUUUCA
Molecule: ribosomal RNA, 675 nt
Filed under: uncultured Vibrionaceae bacterium
Lineage: Bacteria; Pseudomonadati; Pseudomonadota; Gammaproteobacteria; Vibrionales; Vibrionaceae
Description: bacterial SSU rRNA
Rfam family: Bacterial small subunit ribosomal RNA
Source: RNAcentral